CCUGGUUGAUCUUACUAGUAGUCAUAUGCUUGUCACAAAGAUUAAGCCAUACAUGUGUAAAUAUGGACUAAUUCAGACUAUGAAAUUGUGAAUGGCUCAUUAAAUUAGUUAUAGUUUGUUUGAUGGUAUCUACUACUCGGAUAACCAUUGUAAUUCUAGAGCUAAUAUGUGCAACAAACCCUAACUUCUUGAAGGGAAGCAUUUAUUAGUUAAAGGUCAAUGCGGGCUUUGCCUGUUACUUUAUUGGUUCAUAAUAACUUAAUGGAUCACAUGACCUUUGUGUCGAUGAUGCAUCAUUCAAAAUCUUGCCCUAUCAACUUUUGGUGGCAGGAUAGUGGCAUACUAUGGUGGUGAUGGGCGAAGGAGAAUUAGGGUUUGAAUAUGGUAAGAGAGCUUAAGAAACAAUUACCACAUCCAAUUAAGGUAAUAGGCGCACAAAUUACCUAAUCUUGACAUGGGGAGGUAGUGACAAUAAAUAACAAUGCCAAGCUCUAUGAGUUUGGUAAUUGGAAUGAGUACAAUCUAAAUCCCUUAACAAGCAUCCAUUGAAAGCAAGUUUGGUGCUAGCAGCCAUGGUAAUUCUAGCUUUAAUAGUUAUAUUUAAGUUGUUACAGUUAAAAAGCUUGUAGUUGAAACUAGGGUUAGGUCAUCCGAUCUACCUUAUGGUCAACAUUGAUCUAUUCAUCUUUAAUAUUAGUGAUACACUCUUGGCUUUAACUGGCUAGGUCAUUCCUUUGAUACAUUACUUUAAAGAACUUAGAGUGCUUAAAGCAAGCCUACGCUUGCAUACAUUAGCAUAGGAUAACAUUAUAGGAUUUUGGUCCUAUUAUGUUGGCCCUUAAGAUAGGAGUAAUAAUUAAUAAUGACAAUCGGGGCAUUCAUAUUUCAUAGUUAGAGAUGAAAUUCUUAGAUUUAUGAUAGACGAACAACUAUAAAACCAUUUACCAAUGAUGUUUUCAUUAAUAAAAAACAAAGACAAUCAGAUAUUAUCUUAGUCUCAACCAUAAAUGUGCCAACCUAAGAUUGGCAGAUGUUACAUUUUCAAACUUCACUGACACCUUAUGAGAAAUCAAAGUAUUUGGGUUCCAAAGGGUGUAUGGUCACAAGGCUUAAACUUAAAGGAAUUGAUGGAAAGGCACCACUAGGAGUGGAGCUUGUAGCUUAAUUUGACUCAACAUGGGGAAACUUACCAAGUCUAGACAUAGUAAGGAUUGACAGGCUAAGAGCUCUUUCUUGAUUUUAUAGGAGGUGGCACAUGGCUAUUCUUAGUUGGUGAAGCACUUUGUCUAGUUAAUUCUAUUAAUGAACGAGGCCUCAGCCUGCUAACUAGCUAUGUAAAGGUGAUCCUUCAUGGCUAGCUUUAUAGAGGGACUAUAGCCACUUAGGCCAAGGGAGUUUGAGGUAAUAAUAGGUCUGUGAUGCCUUUUAAUGUUCUAGGUUGCAUGCACCCUACACUGAUGUAUUCAAUGAGUUUAUAGCCUUGGUUAACAAGCCCGAGUAAUCUUUGAAAUUUCAUUGUGAUGGGGAAAUAUCAUUGCAAUUGUUGGUCUUCAAUAAGAAAUUCCUACUAAGAGCGAGAAGUCUACUGAACCUUAUCAUUUAGAGGAAGGAAAAUCAUAGCAAGGUUUCAUAGGUGAACCUAUGGAAGGAUUAUUG
Molecule: ribosomal RNA, 1656 nt
Filed under: Durio zibethinus
Lineage: Eukaryota; Viridiplantae; Streptophyta; Magnoliopsida; Malvales; Malvaceae
Description: SSU rRNA
Rfam family: Eukaryotic small subunit ribosomal RNA
Source: RNAcentral